RNAcentral lists this ribosomal RNA (439 nucleotides) under uncultured bacterium. Its description in RNAcentral is "partial 16S ribosomal RNA". It matches the Rfam family "Bacterial small subunit ribosomal RNA", at positions 338 to 795 of the family's 1533-position model. The record is from RNAcentral.
CCUACGGGAGGCAGCAGUAGGGAAUAUUGCUCAAUGGGGGAAACCCUGAAGCAGCAACGCCGCGUGGAGGAUGAAGGUUUUCGGAUUGUAAACUCCUUUUGUUAGAGAAGAUAAUGACGGUAUCUAACGAAUAAGCACCGGCUAACUCCGUGCCAGCAGCCGCGGUAAUACAGAGGUCUCAAGCGUUGUUCGGAAUCACUGGGCGUAAAGCGUGCGUAGGCGGAAGAUCAAGUCAGCGGUAAAAUUGAGAGGCUCAACCUCUGCGAGCCGUUGAAACUGGUUUUCUUGAGUGAGUGAGAAGUAUGCGGAAUGCGUGGUGUAGCGGUGAAAUGCAUAGAUAUCACGCAGAACUCCGAUUGCGAAGGCAGCAUACCGGCGCUCAACUGACGCUCAUGCACGAAAGUGUGGGUAUCGAACAGGAUUAGAUACCCCGGUAGUC